Molecule: long non-coding RNA, 252 nt
Organism: Schistocerca piceifrons (Central American locust)
Lineage: Eukaryota; Metazoa; Arthropoda; Insecta; Orthoptera; Acrididae
Exons: 3
Source: RefSeq, a predicted model, not a curated record
CCACGACGACAUGUUAUUAGGAUUGUGAGUGACAACGAUGCUUCUCCAUUUGAGCGUCCUGUCAUGGAAUCCGUGCUCGAUUUGCCCACUGUAGAAGCUACUGAUUGCGUGGACAAUGUUGUCAAUGAGAAUUAUUGCGUGGAAAGCAUGACCCAUUUAUCUAAUGCAGAAGCUGCGAAUUGUGUCGAAAACAGUGCAGUUGCUUCUUCAGUAAUUGAUUGUGGUAUGCAGUCGAAAGUAGGAAUGGAAGAC